RNAcentral lists this ribosomal RNA (478 nucleotides) under uncultured Alteromonadaceae bacterium. RNAcentral's name for it is "bacterial SSU rRNA". It matches the Rfam family "Bacterial small subunit ribosomal RNA", at positions 382 to 876 of the family's 1533-position model. Lineage: Bacteria; Pseudomonadati; Pseudomonadota; Gammaproteobacteria; Alteromonadales; Alteromonadaceae. The record is from RNAcentral.
CCUGAUGCAGCGAUGCCGCGUGAGUGAAGAAGGCCUUUGGGUUGUAAAGCUCUUUCGUCGGGGAAGAAAAUGACUGUACCCGAAUAAGAAGGUCCGGCUAACUUCGUGCCAGCAGCCGCGGUAAUACGGAGGGUGCGAGCGUUAAUUCGGAAUUACUGGGCGUAAAGCGCACGCAGGCGGUUUGUUAAGCUAGAUGUGAAAGCCCCGGGCUCAACCUGGGAUGGUCAUUUAGAACUGGCAGACUAGAGUCUUGGAGAGGGGAGUGGAAUUCCAGGUGUAGCGGUGAAAUGCGUAGAUAUCUGGAGGAACAUCAGUGGCGAAGGCGACUCCCUGGCCAAAGACUGACGCUCAUGUGCGAAAGUGUGGGUAGCGAACAGGAUUAGAUACCCUGGUAGUCCACACCGUAAACGCUGUCUACUAGCUGUGUGUGUCUUUAAGCCGUGCGUAGCGAAGCUAACGCGCUAAGUAGACCGCCUGG